CCGGCUGCGGUAUGCCCCUUUGAGCGUCAUUGUUACCCUUCGGGAGUCUUUGCCUUCAGAGACCCCGAGUUCGGAGUCCUUGGUCCUCGUUGGAUCGUGUUCUCUCAGAUCGAUCGCGCCGAUCGUCCGGUGGGUCCUGUAAUGCCUGAGCGUGGAGGGCCUCUGGGGUUUCGAGAGGCGUCCGACCGCGUGUUGAAGCGCCGGUCAGCAAGUCCCGCACGGCUCAGCCCGUCGGUGCUACAGCUUCAUGACCUCAUCGGGGUAGGACAACCCGCUAGACUUAAGCAUAUUAAUCAGCGGAGGAAAAGAAACUAACCAGGAUUCCCUCAGUAACUGCGAGUGAAGCGGGAUCGGCUCAAUGUGUGAAUCUGGCUUGGGGUCGUUCCCGUGUCCGAGUUGUGCACUACGGACGCUUCGUCUGCGUUUGUAACGGCGGUGGAAGUCCGAUGAAACACGGCACCUCAGAGGGUCACAGUCCUGUACCACCUGCCUGCACUCGCGCCAAUGACAAGCGCUCCUCGAGUCGCGUAGUUUUGUAUUGCUGCGCCAAGUGGGAGGUAGAGACCUUCUAAGGCUAAAUAUGAUGACGUGACCGAUAGCACACAAGUACCGCGAGGGAAAGGUGAAAAGCAACCAUGAAAAAUGGGUUGAAACAGUAGUGAAAGCGCUACCGGGAUAAGGGCUAUCGGGUGCUGGGGCUCUUGGGGUGUGCUUCAGUGCUACCCUUUGGGACGGCCCGCGCGGGUUGAUGUUGGGGCGAUAGACGCGCCGCGGGAAUU
RNAcentral lists this ribosomal RNA (779 nucleotides) under uncultured Tulasnellaceae. RNAcentral's name for it is "eukaryotic LSU rRNA". The stretch from base 249 to 779 matches the Rfam family "Eukaryotic large subunit ribosomal RNA", at positions 1 to 470 of the family's 3401-position model. Lineage: Eukaryota; Fungi; Basidiomycota; Agaricomycetes; Cantharellales; Tulasnellaceae. The record is from RNAcentral.